Leucoraja erinaceus (little skate) is the source of this 4568-nucleotide long non-coding RNA. RefSeq lists it as uncharacterized. The transcript has 2 exons. Lineage: Eukaryota; Metazoa; Chordata; Chondrichthyes; Rajiformes; Rajidae. The record is from RefSeq and is a predicted model, not a curated record.
AAACAGCCCAACGUAAAAGGUUUGAAUGCACCUUUUGCCUGCCUCCCCUCUGCCAAGCCCAGCCCUACCUAUGGCAGAGUCGGCAGUUCCACAUCGACAAUGAGAACUAGGUCGUCUUGAUCCUGAGACACAAGCGAUAUAUGUACCUGUGCCAUUGUGCCCUAUGUCAGAUUCUAGGCAGCAUACUGAUCAUUGUUCUGAACACUAACUGCUUUGUGCAUUCUCACUUUAUCUUUUGGUGUCAUUCUCGAUUUGUGAAGAACACUUGCUGGUUCUGGUGUUUGACAAAUUUGAUCAUUUUUGGUUGCACUUUUUAAAUUUUGAGCACAUUUUCCCUUUGUUUUAUUUCAAACGAAGUAAAGGAAAUAAGGUGUUUUCUAAAUUUGCGGCAAGCGAAUGGCGAAUUAAAUACAUUGACUGCCUUGAGGAAAGGGUCACGUGAAUACAAUUAUCUGUCUAAAAAACAGUCAAUCUUGGACGUGUUCUAAACUAUGGGAAUCAGAUGGUAAGAAAGAUGCAGGGAUGUGAUAUGCAAGUAGCAACGGUGAUUUAAGGAAAUGUAAUAUAACAUUUACAGCUUAUGCUCCUCUUUGCUUCUGCAAGAUUAGACAUGCUGACCUUAUUGUUCAGCUUGGGUUGUUUAUGGCUAAUUUAAGGGAUCGUGUUGAAUUGCCCAAUUCCAGCGUGAAAUGAAAGUCAGCUUGUACUUGCCAUAGGAAGUUCUCAGCUGACAGUGCACUUCAACCACAGGGCGCACAUGAUCUAUCCAAGUUAAUUGCUUUCUUGUGAUGUUGAUGUCAUAUUUGCACACUACUUGACUAGGAAAUUAUUCCAAGUAUCUGUUCCCUAUUGACCGUGAUGUUGUCAGCAGGAUCAUUGUACCCUUUGCAAACUGAUUAUUGCCAUUUCUAUAAACAGCAGAGCAGAUAUAGGCCAUUCAGCCCUUCAUUCCCAUCCUGCCAUUUUACCUCAUUUUUCGCAGUUGGAGGAAUCCUCAUUUCUGCAUUUGCCCUAUAAAGCCUCCGUGAUUUUUAUUUAAUUGAAUUAUUUCUGUGUCAUUAUCUCGGCAGCACAGAACUGGCUUGCUUAGUCUCUCCUUGCGAGGACAAUCCCUCUCUUCCUCCCUCCCGGCCCGGAAUCGCUGGUGAACUUCCUUACAGCUCUCUAGUUUUGUCCACCUCUCCACCACCACAAUCAGUCUGAUGAAAGGUCCCCGCCUGAACCAUCACUCAAGAAUGCUGCCUGACCCGCUGAGUUACUCUAGCACUUUGUCUUUGUUUGUAAACCAGCAUCUGCAGUUCCUUGUUUAAUCAUUCUGGUAAACCUCUGCACCCUUUACAAAGCUUCCACAUCCUACCCGUAAUGGGGCGACCAGAACUGCACACAAUACUCCAAAUGCGGUCUUACCAAAGUGCUAUAAAGUUGUAUCAUGACAUCUUGACUCGCUGUCUUCCUGUAUUGUCACUUUCAGGGAGUUAUGGACUUAAGUAAGAAGUCUUGCUGCAACUGUGCAAACCAGCAGUGAGACAAUAGGUAAAGUACUGUGAACAAUUUAAUCCCUCUUUUUAAAGAAAGUGAUAUAGGUAUAGGAGUCAAGACUGUUUAAUUGUCAUGUGUACCAGGAUUGGAACAGUGACAUUCUUACUACCUGCAUCUUUAUAGGCACAUGGAUGCAAUAACACAACAAAUAAAUAGACAAUACAUUUUCAGUUUUUCUUGACAAACCAGACUGUGAUAGUGCAAACCAAAGGAUGUCAUGCAAACUGUAGUAGUGCAGAGUCUGCAGUGGUUUAGUCCUGAGAUGGGGAUUGUAGUUAGUGUUGUGCAGGCUGUUUCAGAGUCUAUGGAUGAUGUGAAGGAGGUGUUCUUGGAUCUGCAGGCCUUGGAUCUUGGUGGUCCGGCUCCUGCACCAUGUUAAUGAUGGUUCACAAGUAGGUUCCCGGGUGGGGGAGGUUAUUAUUGGUAGGAUGUUGCUUUACUCGCAGGAGAUACCAGAACCAGAAGGCAUGGUCUCACAACAAGGAGUUGCUCCUUUAAAACUGAGAUAAGGGAAACAUUCUUACAAGAGCUAAAAGUCUUUGGAACUCCUUGGGGGAAGAAUCGUCAGCUAUGGGGUGUUGCACUUUGAGAGGUUUCAUGCAAGGGGAAAAUAUACAAUUAAUGACAAAACCCUCAUCGGCAGUGUUGUGUAGAGAGAUCUUGGGGUCCAAGUCCAUAACUCCCUGAAAAUGGCAACACAAGUAGAUCGAGUGGUCAAGAAAGUGUAUGCUUACCUUCAUUGGUGGGGACAUUGAGUAUAGGAGUCAGGAAGUCAUGAUGCAGCUUUGUAGGAUUUUGGUUUGACUGCUUUAGGAGUAUUACGUGCAGUUCUAGUUGCAUGAACACAGUGCAGAGGAGGUUUACUGGAAUGAUGCCUGGAUUAGGGAGACCUGUAGAAAUAUCUAAAACUAGACGAAGUGAGACCCGUUGGGUCCCAGCAUCACACGGGAGGGCUGGAUUCCAGAGAACUAGUAUUGAAAUUGUGGGCCGAAUGGAUUAUGUGCUGGCAGCUCACUCACGGCUGGUGGGCUGGCAGUUGACUCACAGCUAUUCCUUGAAAUUCCAUUUCAAGCAGGGUGCGAGGCCACCAAAUUCAAGUGCAGUUUCUUACCACUUCAAGCAGGGUGCAAGGCCACCAAAUUCAAGUGCAGUUUCUUACCACUUCAAGCAGGGUGCAAGGCCACCAAAUUCAAGUGCAGUUUCAUACCAUUUCAAGCAGGGUGCAAGGCCACUAACGACAGCGAGUCGUGAUCUCUCCCUCCUCCAUCUUGCAGAGACUGAGCCAAGCCCACACUUCUGGGUUUUAUAGUCCCUCCCCCCUCCCACCAGAAGGGGCAUGGCCUUCAUAGCGUGAUUGACAGGAGAGAGAAUCUCAACAUUUUUAAAACACUAAUAACUCUUUUAUUUUUCAUCAAUGGGAAAAAUCCUCGGCACCUGAUGAGCGGAGGGGGACUCUGAGUAAGAUGGCCAAAAAUCGCAGCCGUAUGUGGUAGCGUUUUUUCUAAAAUCAAUAUAAAGCGCAAACAGGGAGUGGUCAAGAUUAGACUUUUAAUUAUAUAGAAGGCAAGGCAACUUUAAUUGGGCACGGCAACUUUAACUGGGCACGGCAACUUUAACUGGGCACGGCAACUUUAACUGGGCACUGCAACUUUAACUGGGCACUGCAACUUUAAUUGGGCACCGCAACUUUAAUUGGGCAAGACAACUUUAAUUGGGCAAGACAACUUUAAUUAGGCAACACAGCUUCAGCAUUUCCAAACCAAAGGCAAUACAGCUUUAGCAUUUCCAAACCAAAGGCAACACAGCUUUAGCAUUUCCAAACCAAAGGCAUCAUAGCUUUAGCAUUUCCAAACUGUAGUUUCAAACCACAUCAAGGCACUGACAGGUCAGUAAAACCACUCACAGUUUAGUAAACAUGUGUUCAGUGUUUUUCACAGCUCAGACUGAGAGACGUGACCCUCUCGCUCCCCCAUCUUGCAGAGUGACUGAGGCACUCAACACUUCCGGGUUUUAUAGUCCCUCCGGAAGGGGCGUGGCCUUCAGGAGAAAGAAUUUCAACAUUUUUUCAACACUAAUAACUUUUAUUUUUUAUCGAUGGGAAAAAUCCUCUUGUCCUGCGCAGCAGAGUAAGAUGGCCAAACAUCACAGCCGUAAGUGGCAGCGUUUUUUCUAAAAUUAAUAUACAGAACAACAGGAAGUGGCCAAGAUCAGACUUUUAGUAAUAUAGAUUAUAAGAGGCUAGACAGUCAGAACUUUUUUUUUCUGGUGGAAAUAUGAAAUACUAGAAGCCAUAGCUUUGAGAUGAGAGGGGCAAAGUUUAAAGGCGAUGUGUGGGGCAAGUUUGUUUUUACACACAGGGCAGUGAGUGUCGAGAACACACUGCCAGGCUGGUGGUUGAGACAAAUACGCUAGUGGCUUUUACAGGCACAUGGACAUGUAGGGAAUGGAGUGACAUGGAUCGUGUACAAGCGGACAAGAGUUGGUCCUGGCGUCAUGUUCGGCACAGACAUAGUGGACCGAAGGGCCUGUUCCUGUACUGUACUAUGUAUAUUUCUAAUUUAGUAAGCAAACAUGGAGAAAUAGCAGGAAAGUGGAUGUAGAAUUUUAAAUCAGCCAUGAAUCUAGAACUUUGAGCACGAUCAAAGUGCUGACUGGUCAUUACUGUAUCUACUUCAAAUGAUACAACCGCCUUAAACCAUUGUAUAACCAUUAUAUGUUAUAUGGUUAUACAACCGCCUUAAACCUGCACAUUACACAUGGUUCUCUUACCCUAAUCAUUGAUGUAAACUGGGGCCCAGAACUGAUCCCUGCAGCACUCCACUGGUCAGGGCCGGCCUUAGAAGUUGCGGGGCCCAAUUGGAAACAAUUUUGGUGAACCCCAGGUUCCCAGCCAAGGUCUGUAGAAUCGUAGGAGUAUAAAUAUAUAAUUACAAUUGAGUCGUACUCAGGCACAUGCGGUGAGUAAUUACUCAGGGAAGGCAGUCGGUUGGCUUAUAAAAAAUCUUAAACCGCGCAUGCGCAGAUUGUUC